This 325-nucleotide long non-coding RNA is filed under the name Equus caballus (horse). RNAcentral describes it as "lncRNA (ENSECAG00000041761.2)". The record is from RNAcentral. Lineage: Eukaryota; Metazoa; Chordata; Mammalia; Perissodactyla; Equidae.
UUUUUAGGAUGAUAAGGCUUCCGUCCCCCCAGGAAGGGCCAAGUCAGCAACCAAGAGCGAGCCUUGCGGUGGCCGUUUCAGGGGCAUCGGGGGCAUGCCCUCCCCGCCACCGAUCGCUGAGGACGCCCCUCCGCUGCUUCGCUCUGUGUCCUUAAAACGUCGGCUACUGGAUUGAAAUGUAUUUUGUUGGCUUUACCGCUCGUAGCCAUCUUGAGACCAUGAAGCAAGGACUAAGAGAGUCACAGAACUCUCAGCCCUGAUGUAUUUGAGCUGCUGCACUAAUGCCAGUUGACCUACUCCUGGAUCCCACGUGACACGAGAAGAA